AGAGUUUGAUCAUGGCUCAGAAUCAACGCUGGCGGCGUGCCUCAGACAUGCAAGUCGAACGAUUAAACUCUUCUUCGGAAGAGAUAUAGAGUGGCGCACGGGUGAGUAACACGUGGGUAAUUUACCUCUGGGUGGGGAAUAACCAUCGGAAACGAUGGCUAAUACCGCAUAAUGCAGCGGCACCGCAAGGUGACAGUUGUUAAAGCUUUAGUGCCUGGAGAGAAGCCCGCGGCAGAUUAGCUAGUUGGUAAGGUAAUGGCUUACCAAGGCAACGAUCUGUAUCCGGUCUUAGAGGACGGUCGGACACACUGACACUGAAUAACGGGUCAGACUCCUACGGGAGGCAGCAGUCGGGAAUUUUGGGCAAUGGGCGAAAGCCUGACCCAGCAACGCCGCGUGAAGGAUGAAGUAUCUCGGUAUGUAAACUUCGGAAGAAUGGAAAGAAUAAAUGACGGUACCAUUUUUAAGCCCCGGCUAACUCCGUGCCAGCAGCCGCGGUAAUACGGGGGGGGCAAGCGUUGUUCGGAUUUACUGGGCGUAAAGGGCGCGUAGGCGGCGUGACAAGUCACUUGUGAAAUCUCCGGGCUUAACUCGGAACGGUCAAGUGAUACUGUCGUGCUAGAGUGCAGAAGGGGCAAUCGGAAUUCUUGGUGUAGCGGUGAAAUGCGUAGAUAUCAAGAGGAACACCAGAGGCGAAGGCGGAUUGCUGGGCUGACACUGACGCUGAGGCGCGAAAGCUAGGGUAGCAAACGGGAUUAGAUACCCCCGUAGUCC
Molecule: ribosomal RNA, 774 nt
Filed under: uncultured Acidobacteriota bacterium
Lineage: Bacteria; Pseudomonadati; Acidobacteriota
Description: bacterial SSU rRNA
Rfam family: Bacterial small subunit ribosomal RNA
Source: RNAcentral